This 492-nucleotide ribosomal RNA is filed under the name uncultured bacterium. RNAcentral describes it as "partial 16S ribosomal RNA". It matches the Rfam family "Bacterial small subunit ribosomal RNA", at positions 29 to 507 of the family's 1533-position model. The record is from RNAcentral.
AGUGAACGCUGGCGGUAGGCCUAACACAUGCAAGUCGAACGGCAGCACAGUAAGAGCUUGCUCUUACGGGUGUCGAGUGGCGGACGGGUGAGGAAUACAUCGGAAUCUACUUUUUCGUGGGGGCUAAGGAAGGAAAAUUUCCUCAAAACCGCCAUAGACCGUCGGGGGAAAGGCAGGGAUUCUCUUACCUUGCCGGUAUGAAAGAACCCGAUGUCGGAUAGGCUAGUUGGCGGGUUAAAGGCCCACCAGGGCGACGAUCGGUAGCUGGCCUGAGAGACUGAUCAGCCACACUGGAACUGAGACACGGUCAAGACUCCUAGGGGAGGAAGAAGUGGGGAAUAUUGGCGAAUGGGCGCAAGCCUGAUCCAGCCAUACCGCGUGGGUGAAGAAGGCAUUCGGGUUGUAAAGCCCUUUUGUUGGGAAAGAAAAGAAGCAGGUUAAUACCCCGCUGUUCUGACGGUACCCAAAGAAUAAGCACCGGCUAACUUCGUG